RNAcentral lists this ribosomal RNA (564 nucleotides) under Pedobacter sp. EECC-484. Its description in RNAcentral is "bacterial SSU rRNA". It matches the Rfam family "Bacterial small subunit ribosomal RNA", at positions 108 to 669 of the family's 1533-position model. The record is from RNAcentral. Lineage: Bacteria; Pseudomonadati; Bacteroidota; Sphingobacteriia; Sphingobacteriales; Sphingobacteriaceae.
GCGUAACGAAGUAUGCAACCUACCUUUAUCAGGGGGAUAGCCCGGAGAAAUCCGGAUUAACACCGCAUAAAAUCACAGGAUAGCAUUAUCCAAUGAUCAAAUAUUUAUAGGAUAAAGAUGGGCAUGCGUGUCAUUAGCUAGUUGGCGGGGUAACGGCCCACCAAGGCGACGAUGACUAGGGGAUCUGAGAGGAUGGCCCCCCACACUGGUACUGAGACACGGACCAGACUCCUACGGGAGGCAGCAGUAAGGAAUAUUGGUCAAUGGAGGGAACUCUGAACCAGCCAUGCCGCGUGCAGGAAGACUGCCCUAUGGGUUGUAAACUGCUUUUAUCCGGGAAUAAACCUACUUACGUGUAAGUAGCUGAAUGUACCGGAAGAAUAAGGAUCGGCUAACUCCGUGCCAGCAGCCGCGGUAAUACGGAGGAUCCAAGCGUUAUCCGGAUUUAUUGGGUUUAAAGGGUGCGUAGGCGGCCUGUUAAGUCAGGGGUGAAAGACGGUAGCUCAACUAUCGCAGUGCCCUUGAUACUGAUGGGCUUGAAUGGACUAGAGGUAGGCGGAAUGA